UAAUUUCGUUAUGUAUGGACAUAUAGUGUUGUACGAUAGUACUAUUUAAUUUAGAUGUGUGUGAUUGUAUUGCAUUAUUUUGAUCUUACAUGGUAGGUAUGGCCGGGGUUACUCCUGCGUUGCUGGACCCAACAAUAGACUCGGGUCACCGGUCCUUUUUUACUGUGGUUCAGCACCAACAACUCAACGUGCUGCAUCCAUGUCUACCUGCAGAGUUGAUUCCUGUAGACCCACGUUGGCUGCCCAGAUGAUAUGUCGUCUAUUUUCUGUUUUCGUCCGUUAUACAUUUCGUUAUAUAAUGUACUAACGUUUGUGCACUAUACGAUGCAGGCUGAGCGAGGCAGGUCUUCUUACUGUGGCUCGUCUUGCUGAGAGUGCCUUGAUGAAGCUAGAUAGGUCUUUACUUUCAGCUAUCGUUGACAGAUGGAGACCUGAGACACACACAUUCCAUCUCCUGCAGGACGUUGCGAUGCUGCUUGGCCUUCCUAUCGCCGGGGACGCUGUCGGGCCCCGCGUGGUCCCUUCUACGUGGUUGGAGGACCUUGUGCAACGUUUUGCAGGUGUUGCCACCACGAUUGAUCCUGAAGACUUCAAUGAGCACCCAUAGUCGAAAGGCCAUUCGAAGUCAUGGCUCCUACAGUUCCAGCCGGACCUGUUGGCAGCCGAUGCUGAUGACUACUGCGUGACUAGAUCACUCGAGGCAUACCUGUUGUGGUUGUUUGGGUACAUUAUGUUCAACAACUCACACGACCACUGUGUGGAUAGGGUGCUUGUGUCCUACGCACAGGAGAUCGCCGAUGCAGAUGAGGAUGCCAUACCCUUAUAUAGUUGGGGUUCAGCGGUUCUUGCAUUCACAUAUCGUGGACUCUGCAAGACAUCACGGCAGAAUGAUAGCAAUGCUGUCCUAACUGAGUGCCCAAUUCUACUACAGCUUUGGUCUUACGAGAGGAUUGCUAUCGGUCGUCCCAUGAUUGACCAGUCACCAUACAAGCUGGAUAUGUACGGUGACACGGAGGACGACAGGCUCACCAUGGGGACUCUCUGGUACUCUCGACAGAAAACAUGGGCACAUGUACAGACCCGGCGGUCUUAUCCUGAGUUUGUUGCGGCAUUUGAUCGAUUGACCCCAGAAGAUAUUGUGUGGGAGCCAUACAGACCUUCGGCUAUAGCCACACGUGCACCGCUUGGGAUAUCUUCGGUUUGCACACAUGAUGUGAAAUCACGGAAAAAUUUACUAAAUAAAAC
Long non-coding RNA from Panicum virgatum (switchgrass), 1245 nucleotides. RefSeq lists it as uncharacterized. The record is from RefSeq and is a predicted model, not a curated record. NCBI's taxonomy places the organism in Eukaryota, Viridiplantae, Streptophyta, Magnoliopsida, Poales, Poaceae. The transcript has 3 exons.